Molecule: ribosomal RNA, 253 nt
Filed under: uncultured bacterium
Lineage: Bacteria
Description: partial 16S ribosomal RNA
Rfam family: Bacterial small subunit ribosomal RNA
Source: RNAcentral
UACGAAGGGGGCUAGCGUUGCUCGGAAUCACUGGGCGUAAAGCGCACGUAGGCGGCUUUCUAAGUCAGGGGUGAAAUCCUGGAGCUCAACUCCAGAACUGCCUUUGAUACUGGAGAGCUUGAGUCCGGAAGAGGUGAGUGGAACUCCGGGUGUAGAGGUGAAAUUCGUAGAUAUUCGGAAGAACACCAGUGGCGAAGGCGGCUCACUGGUCCGGUACUGACGCUGAGGUGCGAAAGCGUGGGGAGCAAACGGG